RNAcentral lists this ribosomal RNA (497 nucleotides) under uncultured bacterium. RNAcentral's name for it is "partial 16S ribosomal RNA". It matches the Rfam family "Bacterial small subunit ribosomal RNA", at positions 28 to 507 of the family's 1533-position model. The record is from RNAcentral.
GAUGAACGCUGGCGGCGUGCCUAAUACAUGCAAGUCGAGCGAAUAGACGAGGAGCUUGCUCCUCUGACGUUAGCGGCGGACGGGUGAGUAACACGUGGAUAACCUACCUAUAAGACUGGGAUAACUUCGGGAAACCGGAGCUAAUACCGGAUAAUAUAUUGAACCGCAUGGUUCAAUAGUGAAAGACGGUUUUGCUGUCACUUAUAGAUGGAUCCGCGCCGCAUUAGCUAGUUGGUAAGGUAACGGCUUACCAAGGCAACGAUGCGUAGCCGACCUGAGAGGGUGACCGGCCACACUGGAACUGAGACACGGUCCAGACUCCUACGGGAGGCAGCAGUAGGGAAUCUUCCGCAAUGGGCGAAAGCCUGACGGAGCAACGCCGCGUGAGUGAUGAAGGUCUUCGGAUCGUAAAACUCUGUUAUUAGGGAAGAACAAAUGUGUAAGUAACUAUGCACGUCUUGACGGUACCUAAUCAGAAAGCCACGGCUAACUACGUG